This 467-nucleotide ribosomal RNA is filed under the name uncultured bacterium. RNAcentral's name for it is "partial 16S ribosomal RNA". It matches the Rfam family "Bacterial small subunit ribosomal RNA", at positions 28 to 506 of the family's 1533-position model. The record is from RNAcentral.
GACGAACGCUGGCGGCGUGCUUAACACAUGCAAGUCGAACGGAAAGGCCCUGCUUUUGUGGGGUGCUCGAGUGGCGAACGGGUGAGUAACACGCGAGUAACCUGCCCUUGACUUUGGGAUAACUUCAGGAAACUGGGGCUAAUACCGGAUAGGAGCUCCUGCUGCAUGGUGGGGGUUGGAAAGUUUCGGCGGUUGGGGAUGGACUCGCGGCUUAUCAGCUUGUUGGUGGGGUAGUGGCUUACCAAGGCUUUGACGGGUAGCCGGCCAGGGGGGGUGACCGGCCAGAUGGGGACGGAGGAACGGCCCAGGCCCGGAGGGGGGGGAGGAGGGGGGAAUAUGGCCAAAGGGGGGGAAGCCUGAUGAAGCAACGCCGCGUGGGGGAUGAGGGCCUUCGGUUUGAAAACCGCUUUCGCCUGUGACGAAGCGUGGGUGACGGUAAUGGGUAAAGAAGCACCGGCUAACUACGG